GGCACCCACCUGCUAUUACUAGUCCGCGGAUUAACUGCAGUUGGCGAGUAGGGUGUACAUUCAAGUGUGAGACCUGCGGGACUGUGGCGAAGUGUUGCUGUGUGAAGGACCCCGAGGUGCGGGACAUGGUGGUCGAGGAUUGACCACCAGGCAGACAAGAGACGGAGCGGAGCGUGUGGUGUCGCUUUCUGGCCCCGAUGUCCCUGAGCACCAUCGAGUCUAGUAAUUGUUUGGCUCCCGGUCCCCUUCACCGCCUCCGUCAGAAUCCUCUCCUCAUCCCUGGCUCCGCGCGACUCUCUCCUCUCCCACCAUGUCCUUAAGACUGAUGGUAGAGGAGAUUCAGAUGUUUGUGCUUCAUUAUAGAGAAUCAUUAUAUUUUUAGGUGCAGGCGACAGGUGCAUCACAAAAAGGCGCUGUGUCGAAAUGGUACAUCACCACACACACAUCAUGGUGACAGUGACCUGUGGCAUCCACCACGCAGGUGUCGCACUAAGUGCACUUGGACAGGAGAAAGCGUAGAAGUCCGAAAGGUAGUAGAGCUCGGUCAACCCAGCGGCCAGGACAAUGUCUUCACCAGGAAUUAAUCUGACCAGACUCCUCCCUGCGCUCUCUAACGGCAAGAUUGGAUGGUGGUCUUGGGGUCAGGUCCCGUCUUGCUUUUCACCGUCAGCAGAAACAUGAAUGUCAAAACACAAACAGAGGCGAGGCGGGCCCUGGAGAGUCGUGGUGAAGUCGCCGCCCCACUCAGCCUGAUGGGAGCUGGCCGGCCUCAGGAACCUCCCGCCACGAACUCCACCACUAAAGGUCACUGCAUGUAAGAAACUCCCGUGAAAAUCGACCUAAGGCAUUGAUCGGAUGGAAAUUGAGAGUAAAUACCCACCUCUGACUGACCGCGGCUUGAAAAGGGAUAAAAGGAACGGACGUUGGAAGGAAAAAUAUGAAGCCUGACGCACUGUGUUGAUUUAGGCGUGUUUUUCAUGACGUAUUUGUCCAAGAGAGCUGACAGUUCCGCCCCAAAUACAGUCCUCUCUUGUCCUCACUCCCUCUCUUCCUGUCUCCUUCGUACCCUGUUUCUCCCUGCUUGAAGUCCAUUGCCUCCUCUCUGUACCACUGUAGGUCGCCCCUCUAUCAGCGGCACUCUAACCUCCUCUAAUCUAUGUACCCUUAACUCUCCCUUUCUGCCAGCACGUGGUGUCGUGACCUUACACAUUAGGGAAGACUUUUCGAUGUCUAAAAAGCGUGCUCCAGUGGCAUACUUGUGUGUGUGUGUGUGUGUGUGUGUGUGUGUGUGUGUGUGUGUGUGUGUGUGUGUGUGUGUGUGUGUGUGUGUGUGUGUGUGUGUGUGUGUGUGUGUGUUUCCUUUUGCGUGUGAGGCUUUACAGAAGACAUAAUAUUUUUCAUUUCUUUUUUCUUUGUAGUGUCUAACCAGUCUCUCUCUCUCUCUCUCUCUCUCUCUCUCUCUCUCUCUCUCUCUCUCUCUCUCUCUCUCUCUCUCUCUCUCUCUCUCUCUCUCUCUCUCUCUCUCUCUCUCUCUCUCUCUCUAAGGAGGCUCUGUGUCGUGAGCACUAUCCGUAUGUAUCCCAGAAUCUUCCUCAUCAACCUUCCUGAAGAUCCCUUCCUUCUCUUCCUCUGCUCUUCAUUUUUCUUACCUGCAAUUUCUCCUCCUCCUCCUCCUCCUCCUCGUCCUCCACCUCCUCCUCCUCCUCCACUCGUCCUUUCUUUUCUCUACAUUUUUUCCUUUUUCUGCUCUCUUUUUCCUCCUCCUCAUCACUAUUUCUACCCUCCCAUCCUCCUCCUUCUCCAUCUCCUGCAGUUUCUCGAUUUUUUCGUUUUCCUUCUGUAAGUUUUUUGUCUUUUUCUCUUUUUAUCUUGACGCUUCAUUCGUCUUGGCAGCCAGAGAGAGAGAGAGAGAGAGACAGAGAGAGAGAGAGAGAGAGAGAGAGAGAGAGGGUGGAGGUUGGGGGACAGGGCACUGCACUACUGCUACCACUACAUUAUAUCCUUAAUCCCAAAGUUAUAGCGUGCAUACUCGUAAAGAAACAAAUGAGGCCAAGGGACGCAAAGUCGAUGCAGAAAGCAAGGAGAAAAUUAAUGUCUUGUGUUUGAAAUAUUUGCGAAACAAACUCAGAGAAAGACUUACAGACUAGGGAAAGAGGGAAGGGUGAAGUACACAAGACGCUGAAUAGAUGCAGUAUGGCUGAACCACAAGUGCUUUAAGAAGACGAGGGACGGAAAGACUCUUGGAUAUAUAAUUAAAAGGAAGUCAUAGAAAAAAGAGCAAAGAAGUCAUAUAAAUAUGCGUUUGGUGUGAUAAAUACAAUAAAAACAGGAGCAGAAAAUACAAUUCUACGACAAGGAAGACAUGUGAACCAGCAUAGGCGUGUCAAGCUUUCCUGUACAAAUGAUACGAGAAGAAAUAAUAGCGUGCAUGUUUUCCAAGUAAAUCCAGUGAAUUUCAAGGUUUACUGUAAAAAAAGAAUAUUCAUGACAGAGUAAGAGUAUUUAGCUAAGAAGAGGAAGAAGAAGUAAUAUAUGAUAAAAAAAGAAGAACCAAGGAAGAAAGUAAAAAAGUUUAGCGAGAAUGAAGAAAUGCAAGCUAACAUAUAUGCAUAUUGUGUGUCAAUCUUUCGUGACACACACACACACACACACACACACACACACACACACACACACACACACACACACACACACACACACACACACACACACACACACACACACACACACACACACACACACACACACACACACACACACACACACACACACACACACACACACUCACUCACGUACACGAACAAAAAAAAACAAAUGCGAAAAAAGAUGUUAAUAUAAACGAUGAUAAAGUUUGUGAAUUUCAGACCUUAGUACAGGAAAAAAAGAAAAACUUACCCCUGACUAAGAAAUUCAACGAAAAAAAAAAAAAAAGACUCGAGCAUGUGCACUACAAUAUACACCCAAAUUUGUCUCCCUCGUAUGAAAAGUGUGACAAAAAUUUGGCGGUUUUAUGACGAAGCUGACGACUUUAUGGGAGUAACGUGACACUUUUCGUGAACUUUGUGUGACGAAUGUGACACUUUCAACCUUGGCCAGGAAGAACACACACGCAGCUCGUCACGUAAACCAGGAGUAGGUAAGAAUCACGUGAACCUCCGCACCACGAACUCCAACACUCUUUUUCCUCUCUCUCAUUUCCGAUAUAAUGAACACCGCGAACAGCAUCUCUUUUUCUUUAUAUUUUUUUAAAUCUUAUGAGUAACUAAUGCGCGAGUCACAAUGCCAUGAACAUCACUAUUUAUUUUCAUUUAUCUAAGAAACACGUGAACCAUAUCACCACAAACACUAUGAUUUUGUCUUUCAUUUUUACUAUACGAAGAACACCAUUAACAUCAUCACUUGGAGGUUUCACUGCAGAAGAGUAAGUAGAGAAAAUCAAACUAGAGCGGAUAUAAACCUGAACUACCAAAUUGUUAUUACCUCUAUGAGAGUUAAGGGGAUCAGUCAGUCAAAACAUGGGUGAUAAUCAAGGAGAUAUGAGAAGGAUAAUUUUGGGAUGAUUUUUUUGGUAGGAGCUGUGAUAUAUGAAUGCAACAUACCUGAUCCCUAACGUAACUUAA
This is an RNA transcript of Scylla paramamosain (green mud crab), 3620 nucleotides long. RefSeq lists it as uncharacterized. The transcript is spliced from 10 exons. The record is from RefSeq and is a predicted model, not a curated record. NCBI's taxonomy places the organism in Eukaryota, Metazoa, Arthropoda, Malacostraca, Decapoda, Portunidae.